UACAGAGACUGCAAGCGUUAUUCGGAUUCACUGGGCGUAAAGGGUGCGCAGGCGGCCAGGUGUGUCAGGUGUGAAAGCUCGAGGCUUAACCUCGAAACAGCGCCUGAAACUAUCUGGCUAGAGUAUCGGAGAGGUGAGCGGAAUUCAUGGUGUAGCAGUGAAAUGCGUAGAUAUCAUGAGGAACACCAGAGGCGAAGGCGGCUCACUGGACGAUUACUGACGCUCAGGCACGAAAGCGUGGGGAGCGAAA
RNAcentral lists this ribosomal RNA (250 nucleotides) under uncultured bacterium. Its description in RNAcentral is "partial 16S ribosomal RNA". It matches the Rfam family "Bacterial small subunit ribosomal RNA", at positions 524 to 773 of the family's 1533-position model. The record is from RNAcentral.